RNAcentral lists this transfer RNA (73 nucleotides) under Chloroflexi bacterium B3_Chlor. Its description in RNAcentral is "tRNA-Pro". It matches the Rfam family "tRNA". From Rfam's summary of the family: Transfer RNA (tRNA) molecules are approximately 80 nucleotides in length. Their secondary structure includes four short double-helical elements and three loops (D, anti-codon, and T loops). Lineage: Bacteria; Bacillati; Chloroflexota. The record is from RNAcentral. RNAcentral also lists the same sequence under 4 other names.
CGGGGUGUGGCGCAGGUGGAAGCGCGCGGCGUUUGGGACGCCGAGGUCGUAGGUUCAAGUCCUAUCACCCCGA